This 174-nucleotide unclassified non-coding RNA is filed under the name uncultured Sepedonium. Its description in RNAcentral is "sequence contains ITS1". Lineage: Eukaryota; Fungi; Ascomycota; Sordariomycetes; Hypocreales; Hypocreaceae. The record is from RNAcentral.
CCGAGUUUACAACUCCCAAACCCCAUGUGAACAUACCAUACUGUUGCUUCGGCGGGAUCGUCCCGGGUGCGGCCGCGAGGCCAGCCCCGGAUCCAGGCGCCCGCCGGAGGACCACAAACUCUACUGUUUUCUUAGCGAAUUUAUCUGAGUGGCUAUAAGCAAAAAAAUGAAUCA